CAUGUUUGCAACUUCAGGCUUACCUGUGCCACAUUUAAACAACUGAUGAAAGAUUUUUGAUCUCACUUCUUUGGUUUUGAGUACAUUUAAUAGUUGGAUCAGUUUGACUUAAUUACAACUAAGAAACCAAAAAUUCAGUUCACUCAGAUUUUUCUGUGUAUGUGAAACCAGAACAUCCAUUUUGCCACUAUCUUAAAGAACUAUGACUUUGUUUUUCUAAAAAUGAUACAAGCUCAUUAAUAAAGUACCAUAGCAGUACAGAAGAUACAAAGAUGAAAAUAGCAAAUAGCGAACAUGCUGACCAGCAUAAAUAUUGGAGAAUAUCUCCAAAUCUAUAAGAGUAAAAGGACAUAAUUAUAUGCUAUGUCCAUACUGUCUAUUUAAUUAAUACAAGAAAAACAAGUGAAAUUGAGGCGAACCUUCAGUGUUUUGUUUGUUUAACUACCCAAGAGUAGUUCUUUAAGCUACCUCUAACUUUGAGAGAAAAAUUGAGGUUGGCAACAUCUUCAGCCAGACUUCUGGUGUUACAGAAGAUGAACUCCGGCUGCUCAGGCUGUUUCUUGCUGCCUUCCCCAAGGGGAAACAUGUCCUUCUGUCCUUUUGUUCACAAAAGCCCUCUCUCUAUUGCCAGGGAUGGAAAGUAAAGACUUUUGUUAGAAGGACAACUGGCAAUGAGCAGCGCACAGCUGUUCCAGAUGAAGUCAGGGCCGAAAUAAUGCAGGUUCUGGGUGUGUCUGCAUGAUGGUAAUAGAAGCUCUUGCAUGAUUUAUGAUGGAGAGAGUUAUUUGUGUUGGUUUCAGCUCCAUUGAUUUAUGAAAUAUUAAUACACCGACACAACCCAGCACACUGGAGUCGCUGUGAACUCGGGAAUAGCCCCCGGCAGGCCCCUCUUUCUGUCUAGUGGUGCCAGGGUGCUCACUCUGAGCCCAACCCUCUGUGUGCUUCCCCACCCCCUCACAUCUUUCCUUCUCUCCCAGCCAGAGUCCUGCCUUCACUCCACCCAUGUGUCGCCGACAGCCUCGCCUCAUGCUGUCAUUUGAGAGCUCCCUUGUUUUCCCUACAGGUAUCUGAGUGUGUCUUCCCUCGUGUACCAACCAGAGAAAUGCUCCUUCAGCCAUUGAAGCUCUUCUUCUCAAGGACCAGCACUUUGCUGGCCCUCUCCUUUGUCAUCCUUUCUUGAGUCACUUGAUUAGCACUUGAGUACACUUCCCUCCCUUGCCUUAAGUCCCUCUGCCCCAUGACCCACCUUCCCCCAGCAGCUUGUCCUCUCUGCUUCUCUUUGCAGCUCAUCUUCUCCAAAGCUGUUUGUGCUUUCUCCACACUCUCACCUCUUGUUCACACUUGACACUACUGACGUCUGCCUCUACUCUUGCACUUGAUCCAGACUGUCCCAAUGGCAGUCACCAAAGACCACCUGUGCUGCUAAAUCCAGUGGACAGUCUUCAGAUCUCAUCAUACUCAACCCACCAGUCUCCAGCACAGGGCCUUUUUACAGCUUUCUUUCCUUGGACUCUAUUAACACCACAGUUCUGGGGAGUUUCUGCCUUUUCUGCCUCUUGAAAUUACUUCAUCCUGGUCUCUUCUGAAGGUUUUAACAUCCUCGUCUUCAGGCUUAGUCCCUGGUCCUCUUUUCUUUGUUACCUUCUUGGAGAAGUGCCUUCCACACCCGGAGCUCCUCUUCAUUUCAUGACAUCUGUAUGUGGACAGCUCACAUUUGUAUCUCCUGUCGGUCCCAUCUUUAGGGCUCCAGGUCUCACUUCCAGUGGCUUACUUGAUAUCUUAGAGGACUCCACAGGCACCUCCUACCAAAUGUACAAAAAAGGAGGUGUGGGAGCAACUCAUGCAGUUGUCUAGGUAGAGUAGAAAAUGAAAUAGCAGGGAAGCCAGUGUGGCAAGACGGGGAUCUGGGGCACCUUGUGGAAGAUCAGGGCUAAGUAACAGGGACUGGAGCCUGUAAGGCCUCAUAGGCCAUGACAAGAACAUGGCUCAGGUAGGAAGCCUUGGCUUAGUUCUAAGCAAAAGGAUAGCAUGAUGUAACUGAAUUUAUGUCUAAGCAAAACUACCUUGUGCUUGGGGAAAAAAAAGAUUACAUGGUGGCAAGUUCAGAAACAAGUAGCCCAGUGGGGGAAUGGUUGCAGUGCUCCAUGCAAAACAUGAUGGUGACCUGACCUUUGUAGUAACAGUGGGAAGUGUUUGGAUUUGGGAUAUAUUUUUAAGGUAGAGCCAGCUGGAUUUGUCAGAAGGUCGUAUGCAAGGUAAGUGAGAAAGACUCGGUUGAUCGUAAGAUGUUUGGUCUAAGCAAGUAGAUGAAAUUGCUAGUAAGAUGGAUAGAAGUGUUUGGGACAGGUUGGCAUUGGGCAUUAAGCUUGAAAUGCCUUCAGACAUUGAGUAGAGAGUGGCAAUUGGAUAUACAAGUUGAAGUUUGAAGUAGAGGCUUGAGCUAAAGAUAUAUUUUUGAGUCAAUAUUCUUAGAUUUGAAGAGUUCUUUUUAAAUCAUAGAUUUGUCUUCUGCUGAGUUACAUUGAUGUCUUGUGAAAAUAUGUUAAGCCAUCCUUGCAUUCCCAAGUAAAGCCUUAUUUGAUUACAGUGUAUUUUUCUGUACUGUUAGAUUUAAUUAGCUGAUAUUUUAAUUUGAAUUUUUGUACCCAUAUGUAUAAUUUAAAUAGGACUAUAAUUUUUUGUUAUUUUAUAUGUAAGGUAGGAGUCAGUGUUAUGGUAGCUUCAAUAAAUGACUGAGCAGUUUUUCCACUUUUGCUUUAUGGAGCCAUUAGACAGUCUGGGUGUGAUUGUUUCUCCAAAGCUGGGCAGGACUUGUCUCUCAGAUUCUCUAGGCUUGGGGCCUUCGGGUUGGGCAUAGUCUCUGAUUAUCUCUCCAGUAUUGUUUCCCCCUUUUAUGUUGUUUUUGUCUUUUCCAUUUUUAUGAUAAUCUAUUAUUUUGCCUCACAUAUUUCUUAAUCAUAUUUUUUCAUUAAUUCCUUUUUUUUCUACUUGUUUCAUUGAAUUGUGUUCUUACUCUUUUCAGCUUCUUACAUUUAGCUUAUUGGUUUUAUUUCUUAUUUUGCAAUAAAUAUCUUAGACAUAAACAGUUUCAGAGGCACCCUUUUCAUUGUUCAGUUCUAGGUAAUUUUGUUCAGUCUCUUCUAAUCAGCAGUUCACUUCUCUCCUCUCUGAAGUUUCAUUUGGGAGAGAAGUCUGCAGACUGUGCUUGUUUGCCUCCUUGCUGAUAUCUUGAAGAGUCCCCAAAUUCUAAUAGAUAGUUAUUUGUGUCCAGUGCUCUCCCAAGACUGUAAGCAUGUACAUAAUGGACCAUGUCUGAACUGUUGCUGAUUGCUCUAUCCCUGGGACCUGGCCCCAUGCUUAGGAUUUACCCAUUUGGAUAGAAUAUUAUAUUCUCUAAAAUUUGUCUUUAAUAAGUAUAAUAGGCUCUGAAGUACAGCUUCUAGGUUUCUGAAUUCCAGCUAGAGUUCUGUGUCCAUUUAGUUUUAGUUAAACUUUUGUCUGGAGACAGCAUCCAAGCAGCCUGAGAGCACAUUGUGCCCUUCCCUGCCCACGAGCCCGCCCCACCAACAUGUGGGAUGAACCCGUUUGACUGAAAACAGGUUCAGUUGGGCUGGAGGUGCCUUGUAUAUAUUCAGGGUAAUUCACAUGAAAAAUGCUAUUUGAAAAGCGGUUUUUUAAGUUCUCCCCAAGAGCAUAUAUCCUAAAACAGUGGAUACUUCUUUGUGUACAAGUUUAACACAUUCAGAAUUCACCUAGGAAAUGGGCUUUGAGAACAUAUUGCUUAGUAAAACAACUAAUCUAGAAGGUUCCUGCAUAUUCCAGAAUCCCUAGAUCCUCAGAUUCCAUAAUUCCAAUCUGCAGCCUGGUUUAUUGAGAGAUCCUAGUAAGAUGUAUUACACUGAAAGAAAGGAGACACAAAUCACUAAUGUUCACGGGUGGUUGAAAAGGCAGGUGAGGCUUGCUUCUGGCCCCACCAUGGCGCUUGUCACAUGGUGGUCUUCUGUGAAAGCCUGUGGAGUCCUGACCAUAUCUGGUGACUGGAAGCUGCUGCCAGGUGCUUCUGUGCUUGCUUCGUUCUAAGGGAAAAGCACACCUUUCCAGGUGAAGCAAACUAAAUGAAAGCCAUUCAGAAUGUUUAGCCCAAUUUCAGAUAGACAUUUGUAACCAUUUCUGUCUUAGGACACAGUAGGCCAAAAAGUCAGACAGUUUUAUCUGGGGUAAAAAUGGGUUUUAAAUGAAUCUGACUAAAUUACCUGGCAUAUUGUUCUCAUGGCAUCUGGAACAGUUAUUAGAAAAUACAGGGUUUUACAGAAGGAACAAAACAGUAUUAGACUCAUAGACACAGAGAAGUGACUAGUGGUUACCAAGGGGGAGGGGUGAGGGGGACUGUUGAACCACUGUGAUGUACAUUUAUGAUAAAGAAAUAAAAUUAAGAUAUAAUUUAGAAAAUAAAAUAUUUAACCCUGAAAGAAAUCUCUCUUCCUCCCUGAGAAGCAGAUUUCUCUGCUGAAGAAAAUAAUCACAAUUCAAGUAAAAUUUAAACUUUUCAGUCUAAAUGUUCUGAUGACCAGAAUAUAAGAUUGUUAAUAUCGGAGAAGGGCGGAGCCAGGAUGGCGGCUUGAGUAGAGCAGCGGAAAUUUCCCAAAGCCACAUAUAUUUUUGAAAAUACAACAAAGACAACUCUUCCUAAAAGAGAGACCAGAAGAUACAGGACAACAGCCAGACUACAUCUACACCUGGAGAACCCAGCGCCUCAUGAAGAUACAAGCCGCGGCCCAGCAGGACCCGAGCGCCUCUCACCCCACCUCCCGGCGGAAGGAGAGGAGUCGGAGCAGGGAGGGAGAGGGAGCCCAGGACUGCUAAACACCCAGCCCCAGCCAUCUGCACCAGAGCGCAGACAUAGUGCAUGCGUGGGGUGCUGGAAACUAGGGAAACAGGACAGUAAGACCUGUGAGUGGGUCCCCGCAGCCAGCGCCACUGGGACAAAAAAAAGAGAGUGCUUUUUGAAAGUCUUAAAGGGACAGGGACCCCACAGCUGGAAGGAAGCGUUCCAGGACACUUAGCCCAGCAGCUGGGAAUCCCAAGGAACACCGGGCGCUAUAACCCCCUGGGCAGCAACGCAGCUCGGAGGCUCCUCAUGGCGAUGAACAGCCUCCUGCCUGUCUCCCCUCUGAUGCAGCUGCGCCAUAUUGGAGCAGCAGACUGAGGCCAGCCAUGCCCAUAGCAACCAUGGAGCUUAACGCCACAGCAACCGCAGAGCUUAACUCCACAGCGGCCAGGCAAAAAUCAGAGGCUCCGUAUGUGCGCAGCUGCCAAAGCACAAGUCGCUAGAGGUCACUGUUCUCCCAGGAUAGGAAGGCCACAAACCAGCAAGAAGGGACGUUCUCCCAGCCGACACACAGCGGCAGCCCCGCACAACUACCUCUAUCACCAUGAAAAGGCAAAAGAAUUUGAUACAGACCAAAAUCACAGAGUCAACCACUGAGAAGGAAAUAGACCUAACCAAUCUUCCUGAAAAAGAUUUCAAAAUAAAGGUCAUUACCAUGCUGACGGAGCUGCAGAGAAAUAUACAAGAACUAAGAGAUAACAUCUGGAGGGAGAUUACAGAAAUGAAACAAUCUAUGGAAGGAUUUAUAAGAAGAAUGAAUAAGAUGCAAGAGGCCAUUGAUGGAAUAGAAACCAGAGAACAGGAACGCAUAAAGGCUGAUGCAGAGAGAGAUAAAAGGAUCUCAAGGAAUGAAUCAAUAUUAAAAGAACUGUGCGACCAAUCCAAAAAGAAUAAUAUCCGCAUUAUAGGGGUACCAGAAGAAGAAGAGAGAAAAAGGGAUAGAAAGUGUCUUUGAAGAAAUAAUGGCUGAAAACUUCCCCAAACUGGGGGAGGAAAUAAUCAGGCCACAGAAGUACACAGAACUCCCAACAGAAGGGACCCAAGGAGGACAACACCAAGACACAUAAUAAUUAAAAUAGCAAAGAUCAAGGACAAGGACAGAGUGUUAAAGGCAGGUAGAGAGAGGAAAAAGGUCAUCUACAAAGGAAAACCCAUCAGGCUAUCAUCAGACUUCUCAACAGAAACUUUACAGGCCAGAAGAGAAUGGCAUGAUAUGUUUAAUGCAAUGAAACCAAAGGGCCUUGAACCAAGAAUACUGUAUCCAGCACAAAUAUCAUUUAAAUAUGAAGGAGGGAUUAAACAAUUCCCAGACAAACAAAAGUUGAGGGAAUUUGCCUCCCACAAACCACCUCUACAGGGUAUUUUAGAGGGACUGCUCUAGACUGGAGCACUCCAAAGUCUAAAUAGAUGUCACCAGAGAAAAUAAAAUCACAGCAAAGAAAGCAGACCAACCAAAUACUAACUAAAGGCAAAAAUAAAAUCAACUACCUACAAAAGCAGUUAAAGGAAACACAAAAGAGCACAGAAUAAAACAACCAACAUAUAAAGAAUGCAGAAGGGGAAUAAGAAGGGAGAGAAGUAAAAAAUCACCAGACAGUGUUUAAAAUAGCUCAAUAAGUGAGUUAAUUUAGACAGUAAGAUCCUAAAGAAGCUAACCGUGAACCUUUGGUAACCACAAAUCUAAAGCCUGCAAUGGCAAUAAGUAUAUAUCUUUCAAUAAUCACCCUAAAUGUAAAUGGACUGAAUGCACCAAUCAAAAGACACAGAGUAACAGAAUGGAUAAAAAAGCAAGAUCCGUCUAUAUGCUGCUUACAAGAGACUCACCUCAAACCCAAAGACAUGCACAGACUAAAAGUCAAGGGAUGAAAAAACAUAGUUCACACAAACAACAGGGAGAAAAAAGCAGGUGUUGCAGUACUAGUAUCAGACAAAAUAGACUUCAAAACAAAGAAAGUAACAAGAGAUAAAGAAGGACAUUACAUAAUGAUAAAGGGCUCAGUCCAACAAGAGGAUAUAACCAUUCUAAAUAUAUAUGCACCCAACACAG
Molecule: long non-coding RNA, 6935 nt
Organism: Manis pentadactyla (Chinese pangolin)
Lineage: Eukaryota; Metazoa; Chordata; Mammalia; Pholidota; Manidae
Exons: 2
Source: RefSeq, a predicted model, not a curated record